Long non-coding RNA from Daphnia magna, 1227 nucleotides. RefSeq lists it as uncharacterized. The transcript has 3 exons. NCBI's taxonomy places the organism in Eukaryota, Metazoa, Arthropoda, Branchiopoda, Diplostraca, Daphniidae. The record is from RefSeq and is a predicted model, not a curated record.
GUUUUAUCUAGCAAUUUUCCAAUCAACGAAUUAAGAACGUGGGCGCUUGGUAUCCGAUUGAACACGAGCCGACUUUCUAGUAAGUAAAGCAAAAACGCAUUUUCGGCAAAGCGUCAGACCAAAAUGAAAUAAUGGACAAGCCUUAGGGCCCCGUGCACAAACAGCCUUCACCUGCUGUGACGAGGAAUGCCACGCUUGUAUUAGCGCGAGUCUUUUCGACAUCCGCACUGGUGACGAGACGAUAUAUAACGUUGUUCUUACUUGUUUGACGUGUCAUCUUUUGUUUUGGUCUGAUUUGAAAUCGUUGAUACGUAAUUAUACGCAGGAGUAACACUUGAUUGAAGCAAUUCUUUUUGGCACCCGUAUACAGUGGUGCUGAUGGUGACACUGUUAGCUGUUAGCAACAUCACUAACGAAUGCUUUUUUUAUGCUAUUACAAAACUUUGGCUCGUGUAUUAAUCUUUCCAUAGUAGGAGGCUGAACUGGUGCAGAGAAAGGCACACGUGGGCAACGCAACAAAAGAAUACCAUUUCAUUUGCUACAGUGCGCUGAUGAAUAACACUUUCGGGCGACCUAGCACAUGUUAAUUGGCAAAUUAUAAAGCUAGGCUUAAGUAAUGCUAUACCCAUCCUUGUACAUCCCGCUGCCACAGCAUGUCGACCCACUCAACGGAGCAGCUGCCACCGCGGCGGGAAGUCCUUUGCCUUAACAAUAAACUAUACGCUUAGCUCUUCACUUUACUCGGUGCAGAAGACGGGAGGCAAUAUCAAUGCGACUGGUGCAUUAUCAAACUAUUGGCUAUCUAAAAAUAAAAAGGUGACAGCCCUCAAUGUCUGUCUUCUUUCUCCGAUCCAGCAGAGGAGACUACACGGCUUCACCUCACCAAAUGUGUCUAUUCACAAAAGAAAAGAAUUUCUAAUUUGGAAAAAUUGGCUAUUAAGCUAAGAAAAUAUACAAGUUUUCAUAAUGUUUAUUUUUGGUUCUUUAGUUCAUCACAAAUAUUCAAAAAAGCCAGUCAUUUUACUGAACUCAAUACACUUUGGAAAUUUAGCCCAUCACGAGUCGGUCGAGGCCAAUGAAAUCUACAUAUUCCGUGAACAUGGUACUGACGAAACCUAGUUACGUAUAGAUAAACUUGAAAUCAAACAGUGUCUUUUUGGAAUUUCUAUGACGCAACCGUUUUCUUUGUCGUGGAUGCGCUUGGCUUUUAUAGGCUAUACUUUUUUA